This 789-nucleotide ribosomal RNA is filed under the name Triticum aestivum (bread wheat). RNAcentral's name for it is "partial small subunit ribosomal RNA". Lineage: Eukaryota; Viridiplantae; Streptophyta; Magnoliopsida; Poales; Poaceae. The record is from RNAcentral.
AUGUCGGACUUGUACAUUAACACAUUGCAUGGCGAUGAGAGGAGAAAGAAAAGGAAGAGGGCAGCUGCUGGAUUUUUUGUGUCGGUUGUCGCGAUAGUUCAACACACGUAUUGUCAGAGGAAGAUUAGAGAGCUUGAUGAUUUCAGUGAGGAUGAGGCGGAGAUUAGGAUUAGAAAGCAGAUGCUUAGAUCAAUUUAUCAGGGUUCUAACAAGCACUGUUUUGAUAGUUUGCGCCUAACUAAACGGUCCUUUGUGGACCUGUGCGCUAUCUUGCGUGAAAGAUGUGGUUUGGGGGACACAUUUUAUGUGUCGGUUGAAGAAUCAGUCACAAUGUUUCUGCUAGUGCUAAGCCAUGGGAUGAAAUACCGGUUAAUUGAAAGCACGUACAGAUGGGCACUCGAGACCAUCAGUAGGCAUUUCAAUGAGAUCUUAAGAGCUGUCCUUUCCUUGUCUCAUGAGUUUAUAAAGCUACCAACCCCUUCAGCUGAGCAGCCUGAGGAUAGUAGAUGGAAAUGGUUUCCAGAUGGGCUAGGAGCUUUAGAUGGCACACAUGUUGAUGUCCGUGUUUCCGCUCUCAAGCAAGGCAGAUACAGAAAUAGAAAGCAAGAUGUGACCACUAAUGUGCUUGGUGUUUGUGACCGGAAUAUGAAGUUUUUGUAUGUCUUAGCUGGAUGGGAAGGUUCUGCAUCUGAUUCACGAGUGUUGCGAGAUGCAAUGUCACAACAAGACGCUUUUAGAGUUCCACAUGGUAAUUCUCCGUCUUGGUACGGUAGAACAACUAAGUUAUGA